AUGCCUAGCUAGUCUGGCUGCUUUUGUGAUAUCACAAUGUCAAGUCACUGCUGCUCACUUCUUUCACCAGGGAACCUACAAUGUAAAUAUCUCAGUGUGCAUUUCAAUACUACCUAUUCCUUUCACUGCUGAGAAUGGAGAAAUCUCCACCUGAACAUCAAAUUGGCCCCAUGGAGAAGUUGCAUGUUUCUGUGGAACUUUGAGUUUGCCCCUAUAAGAUAGGUGCUUUUGUUCUCAUUUUUAGAUGAGGAAACGGGUCCUGGAAGGUAAGAGAGCAUUCAACUUAGGGUGGAGGAGGAGAAUCUGAAUAGGGCUGACAAGUUCCUUGGUGUGUUACCUGCUUCUGCCGCUGAUGCAAACUGCAGAACUUCUCAUUCAUCCCCAUGGCCUCCAGGCAGUAUCCAAUGGGGAGUCAGCUCUAAAAGGAACCCAACCAACGUUUCCUAGCCCCUUCAUUCUGGUGACUGAUGGAAAGAAAGAGUGAGAGGGACAAUAUAUAUGAAUACUGCAUGAAAAAGAAACAGACCAGCAAAUUACUAUAUAUUUUCCUUAUCUGAAGCCAUGUUAAUUGUAUUGUGUGUAUAUAUCUGGGGAAGUUGGAGAUGAUGAACUUCAUUAGAAGUGACUAGAACAAACAGGGUAAGAGUCAGUUGAUUUUGAAAGAUGUUGAUGUUUUGAAAUAAUGUGUUACUUCUAUGUGAGGAAAGGAUAGAAAACGUUCAGGACAUCAUCUUACAGACUCAUCUACAAAAUUGCAAUAGCAGUGACAUCUACACAGAAGACCUGUAACUGCAAACAGGAUGAGGUUACCUCAGUGACAUCUCUUGAUGCUGCUCAAACAAGUUUGAUUUUUGUUUGGGGGGGUGCA
This is a long non-coding RNA of Octodon degus (degu), 868 nucleotides long. RefSeq lists it as uncharacterized. Lineage: Eukaryota; Metazoa; Chordata; Mammalia; Rodentia; Octodontidae. The record is from RefSeq and is a predicted model, not a curated record. The transcript is spliced from 3 exons.